AUGAGAUGCGAGCUUCUCUUCUGCAUUUUCCUAUGUCUCCUGGAGACAGCCCUCACGGACACUAAAAUUCUCCAGACACCAAGAUAUCUGGUCAUGGGAAGAGCAAAUAAUAAGUCUUUGAAAUGUGAACAACAACUGGGAAAUAAUGCUAUGUACUGGUAUAAACAGAAUGCCGGGCAGCCCCCAGAGCUCAUGUUUCUCUACAAUCUUAAACAACUGAUUCUAAACGAGACUGUGCCCAGUCGUUUCUUUCCUGAAUGCCCAGACACCUUCCAGCUAUUCCUUCACUUGUCUGCCUUGGAGCCAGAAGACUCAGCUGUGUAUUUCUGUGCCAGCAGCAAGGACACAGCCCUGCAGAUUCAUCAGCUGUCUGACACAUGGAACCUGGAGUCACAUGUUGCAGAAAUGUGA
Cricetulus griseus (Chinese hamster) is the source of this 411-nucleotide non-coding RNA. Lineage: Eukaryota; Metazoa; Chordata; Mammalia; Rodentia; Cricetidae. The record is from the annotation of a RefSeq genome assembly.